ACACACACACACACACGGGUACACAAGGCCUGAAACACACGCAGGCGCGCUUCUUAAAGGAGAAGGCUUGUAAAGGCUGCCUCUUGGCUACCGUAUGAAGCCCUGGAUUAGGUACCGGGCCUUUGAGCAGGGCUCUAAUUGGUGAUGAACUCUUUUUUCUUUUUACCUGCCCUCACCCAGAAACCUGAUACCUAGGACCCCCGGAAGAAUACAUUCCUACAUCUUCCCCGCCCCCUAACCUCACAUCUAAAAACAGUGCUCCCCUCCCUAACCAGUGCUUGGGUGGGGCUUGCUCUGUGGACCCUGCUGGAAGCUGAGGAGAAGACCAGGCCUGGUCUUGAAGAGUAUUUGGCAUCUUAUUUGGAGAGGUUCAAAGAGAUCCCUGGCUCUGGAAAUCAGAACAACACCCAGGUUCCUGCAUUUGAGUUCUAAAAUUGAAUGCUGUUCUUUGGAAGAUUCAGAAGAGCCAUUAGCAACAGAAGCAACAUCUACCACAUUGUGAGUUCCCAGUGAUCUAGGAAAUAACUAUAAUAACAAGAAAUGGGGCAAGCACAAUUUUGCAUACUGGAAUUGGUUCAUAGUGAAUUGCUGCAUAAUGCAGCAAGGUCAAGAUUGGGUUUUGAUGCAUUAGGACUGUCUUCUUAAUGUCUCUGAUUCUGACUCUGGGAUGAAGCAGGAAAUCAGCUGAAGACGGAUAUUAUUUGUCUUACCUGUGAGAAAGACCUUACAGAUUUAACAAUAAAACUGUUUUUAGUGUAAUUCUAUGAAUUGUGAGAUUUCUCAAAGGUCACUGAAUUUUUCAUGCCUUUAUGGAUGAUAACUGAAACUGCAGUGAUUUCCUGAAAGGAGAAACACACAAAGAGGAAAGAAGAAAGGAAAGAAGAAAGGAGAAAAAGGAAGCAAGAUGUAGAAUACAAGGCAAGCAGAAAAAUUGGAGGAAAUAAUAAAAACAAUUCAUUUCUUUUCAGAUCUUUUCCAAUUAAAUGGUUUUAUAAAAAGGCUUAGAAACUGCUUUUGAUUCUUAACAUGGGCUCCUUAUGUGGGCUGAGAAAAUGACAGACCAUGAGUCUGCUUUUCGCCUUCAUUUAUUUCAUUUCUGUCUCUGACUUCUUCUUGACUCCAUGAUUACCCUUCAAAGAGUAUCUGAUGACUUAUCACAUCUCAUCACCUCUCAAGCCUGAUAUAACAGAGAAAAAUCACAUCCUUCAGCAUUUAGUCACCUUGGGUUCCAGAAGAGUAAAGGUUCACAGGAUUGACCAACCUAAAUGAGAGCAAUUAUAAGUGAAAGCACGGACUCAUCUCAGGGCAUCAGUAAUACAUCUUAUAAGGACCAAUUUGCUACCUUAAGUGAUGGCGGAUUCUCUGGACUAUCUUACACAUUCUCAACUCAGACAACAGACAAUGAUCAGUGACAGCCUCAUGCCUUAACUAUGAUGGUCCAAGUACCUUGACUUCAAAAUUUGGAUCUAAGGAUAUGUUGCUUUGGAAAGGAGGCUCUGCUUUUGUUUCCACAGAAAGCAAGAGGCUAUGGAUUUGUUCCAGAUUAAGAUACAUCAGGUUUAACCAGCCAAGACUACCUGAAAGGUCUCCGAUGACACCAUGGCCCAGAUGAUCCAACAUCCAGAAUGAUUUCAAGACUUUCUGGACAGUGAGACAUGUCUGCUCCUGGCAGCACCAAUUUACUUCAGAGAGGAGGAUGGGCAUUGAAGACACUCCAUAUGUGGUUUAUCUUCACCUUGGCAAAAAUAGCCAUUUGGGCAAGAAACUAUUCUUGCCUGGACUGCUUGAUUGACUGGACAUGCAGGAGCUAUAAGAAGGUGACCACUGAGCUUUGCUUGGCAAAAUGGUCCUUCAGGUUCCUGCUUCGCAGAAGAAACUGCCAGACAUUCUACAGGACACAGAGAGAAGUGACUGAGAGAUUCUAGGCCUGUGGCCUGAAGACAGAUGCCCCACCUUUACAGAAGAACUUUGAAUGACUGUCCAGGCUGCCAGCUGUCUACUCUCGCAAGACUCCUGAAAGUUGCUUGCAUCCUUAUCCUGUUUCUCAGGUAAUAUUAUAUCCUUGUGAGGUAUUUGAUGUAGUUGAAGACUAGAUAGUUAUGAUUUCCUUAGUUAUGAUAAAAGAUAAGUUAGAUAUGAAACCUUAGACUCACAAAUAUAGUAUAGAUAGGAUAUCUUCUUUAAUUUUGCCAAAUACAAAUAGACUAGAUAUUAUAAAUAGAGUAGAUAUUGUAACUGUAAUUAUUGCUUGAUAAUUGUUUUGUUAUAUGUAAUUUUACUAUGUUAAAGUUAAAACCUUCCUUUUUGAAAAAAAAGAAAAGGGGAAGUGCUGUGGAUAACUGUAUGCUGUGAAUGUGUUCUAUGAUUGAUUGAUAAAUAAAAUGCUGAUUGGCCAGUAGCCAGGCAGGAAGUAUAGGCAGGAAAAAGAGAGAAGAGAAUUCUGGAAAGUGGAAAGUUGAGUCAGGAGAUGCUGCCAGUUGCUGCUGCCAUGAGAAGUAAGAUGUGAAAUACUGGUAAACCACAAAACAUGUAGCAACUUAUAGAGUGGCUGUGGACCUGGAUGGGACUGGAGAUAACUCCAGGUACACCUCUCCCCUCCCAGGCCCCAGCUUUCACCCCAAUCCACCUCUCAUUCCCUCCUCCUCCAAGACAGGGUCUCCCAAGGGAAGUCAGCAGAGCCUGGUAUAUUCAAUUGAGGCAGGUCCAAGCUCCUCCUCCCUGCAUCAAGGUUGCUGUAUAAGGUGUCUCACCAUAGGCACAGGGCUCGAAAAAGCCCACUCAUGUACCAGGGACGGACUAGCAGUGUAGCUCCCUAAACAGUACAAGUUAAACAACUGUCUUGCUUAUCCAGAAGGCCUAGUCCAGAACCAUGGGCUAUUGGUCCACAGUUCAUGUGUUUCAACUAGUUUGUCUGGCUGUCUCUGUACAUUUUCCCAUCAUGAUCUUGAUGUCCCUUGCACAAAGAAUUCCUCCACUUUCUCAUCGAUUGGAUUCCUGGAGCUCAGCCUGGCCCAUGAGUGUGGAUCUCUGCAUCUGCUUCCAUCAGUUACUGGAUGAUGGCUCUAUGAUGAUAGUUAGGUUAUUCACUAAUCUGAUGACUGGAGUAUGCCAGUUCAGGCACCCUCUUGACUAUUGCUAGUAGUCUAAGGUGGGAUCAUCUUUGUGGAUUCCUGGGAACUUUCCUAGCACCAGGUUUCUCCCUAUCCCCAUGAUGUUUUCAUUUAUCAUGAUGUCUCUUUCCUUGUUCUCCCACACUGUCCCUGUUCCACCUCGAACCUCCUAUUCCCUUAUGUGCUCAUUCCCUAUCCCUUGUCCUCCAUUACCUACCUUCACUCCCAGUUUGCUCAUGUGGAGCUCAUCUCUUUCUCCUUCACUGGGCAAUCUAUGCAUCCUUCUUAGGGUCCUCCUUGUUAGCUAGCUUCUCUGGAGCUGUGGGUUGUAGACUAGAUAUCCUUUGCUUUACAUCUAGUAUCAACUUAUGAAUAGGUACAUAUCAUGUUUGUCCUUCUGAGUCUGGGUUACCUCACUCAGGAUGAUAUUUUCUAGUUCCAUCCAUUUGCCUGCAAAUUUCAUGAUAUCAUUGUUUUACUGCUGAGUAGUACUCUACUGAGUAUAUGUGCCACAUUUUUUUCUUCGGUGAGGGCCAUCUAGGUUGUUUCCAGGUUUUGGCUAUUACAAAUAAUGCUGCUAUGAACAUAGUUGAGCACGUCUUUGUGGUAUAAUUGAACAUUCCUUGGGUAUAUGCCAAAGAGUGGUAUUGCUGAGUCUUGAGGAAGAUUGAUUCCCAAUUUUCUGAGAAACCGCCUUACUGAUUUCCAGAGUGACUAUACAAGUUUGCAUUUUCCACAAACAGUGGAGGAGUGUUCCCCUUGCUCUGCAUCCUCUCCAACAUAAGCUGUUAUCAAUGUUUUG
Peromyscus californicus insignis is the source of this 3912-nucleotide long non-coding RNA. RefSeq lists it as uncharacterized. The record is from RefSeq and is a predicted model, not a curated record. The transcript is spliced from 4 exons. Lineage: Eukaryota; Metazoa; Chordata; Mammalia; Rodentia; Cricetidae.